RNAcentral lists this ribosomal RNA (407 nucleotides) under uncultured bacterium. Its description in RNAcentral is "bacterial LSU rRNA". It matches the Rfam family "Bacterial large subunit ribosomal RNA", at positions 950 to 1358 of the family's 2925-position model. The record is from RNAcentral.
CAAACUCCGAAUACUGUAACUUAAAAGAAUGGCAGUCAGACUACGGGAGAUAAGUUUCGUGGUCGAAAGGGAAACAGCCCAGACCGUCGUCUAAGGUCCCUAAAUUUGCACUAAGUGGCAAAGGAUGUGGGGGUGCAUAUACAACCAGGAGGUUGGCUUAGAAGCAGCCACCCUUUAAAGAAAGCGUAAUAGCUCACUGGUCAAGCGAACCCGCGCCGAAAAUAUAACGGGGCUCAAGCGUGGUACCGAAGUCGCGAGAGUGGCAACACUCGGUAGAGGAGUAUUCUCUGGGAGAUACGCGGUGUAUCGACAAGAGGCACUAACGGCCCAGAGAAGAGCUUAUGCAGGCAUGAGUAGCGAUAAACCGGGUCAAAAAACCCGGUCGCCGUAAGCCCAAGGUUCCUGGG